Molecule: ribosomal RNA, 252 nt
Filed under: uncultured bacterium
Lineage: Bacteria
Description: partial 16S ribosomal RNA
Rfam family: Bacterial small subunit ribosomal RNA
Source: RNAcentral
UACGUAGGGUGCAAGCGUUGUCCGGAAUUAUUGGGCGUAAAGAGCUCGUAGGCGGUUUGUCGCGUCUGCUGUGAAAACGCGAGGCUCAACCUCGCGCCUGCAGUGGGUACGGGCAGACUGGAGUGUGGUAGGGGAGAUCGAAUUCCUGGUGUAGCGGUGAAAUGCGCAGAUAUCAGGAGGAACACCGGUGACGAAGGCGGAUCUCUGGGCCAUUACUGACGCUGAGGAGCGAAAGCGUGGGGAGCGAACAGG